GUAGGUGGCAAGCGUUGUCCGGAAUUAUUGGGCGUAAAGCGCGCGCAGGCGGUUCUUUAAGUCUGAUGUGAAAGCCCACGGCUCAACCGUGGAGGGUCAUUGGAAACUGGAGAACCUGAGUACAGAAGAGGAAAGCGGAAUUCCACGUGUAGCGGUGAAAUGCGUAGAGAUGUGGAGGAACACCAGUGGCGAAGGCGGCUUUCUGGUCUGUAACUGACGCUGAGGCGCGAAAGCGUGGGGAGCAAACAGGAUUAGAUACCCUGGUAGUCCACGCCGUAAACGAUGAGUGCUAAGUGUUAGGGGGUUUCCGCCCCCCUUAGUGCUGCAGCUAACGCAUUAAGCACUCCGCCCUGGGAGUACGGCCGCAAGGCUG
Molecule: ribosomal RNA, 373 nt
Filed under: uncultured organism
Description: partial 16S ribosomal RNA
Rfam family: Bacterial small subunit ribosomal RNA
Source: RNAcentral